GGCCGUGUGCCCGAGUGGUUGAGGGACCCGCCUGCAAAGCGGUACACGCCGGUUCGAUUCCGGUCACGGCCU
RNAcentral lists this transfer RNA (72 nucleotides) under Spongiactinospora rosea. RNAcentral's name for it is "Sphaerisporangium sp. LHW63015 tRNA-Cys". It matches the Rfam family "tRNA". From Rfam's summary of the family: Transfer RNA (tRNA) molecules are approximately 80 nucleotides in length. Their secondary structure includes four short double-helical elements and three loops (D, anti-codon, and T loops). Further hydrogen bonds mediate the characteristic L-shaped molecular structure. tRNAs have two regions of fundamental functional importance: the anti-codon, which is responsible for specific mRNA codon recognition, and the 3' end, to which the tRNAs corresponding amino acid is attached (by aminoacyl-tRNA synthetases). tRNAs cope with the degeneracy of the genetic code in two manners: having more than one tRNA (with a specific anti-codon) for a particular amino acid; and 'wobble' base-pairing, i.e. permitting non-standard base-pairing at the 3rd anti-codon position. Lineage: Bacteria; Bacillati; Actinomycetota; Actinomycetes; Streptosporangiales; Streptosporangiaceae. The record is from RNAcentral.